GACCUUGUGGCCUAACGGAUAAGGUGUCUGACUACAGAUCAGAAGAUUGCAGGUUCGAGUCCUGCCAGGGUCG
Molecule: transfer RNA, 73 nt
Filed under: Danionella translucida
Lineage: Eukaryota; Metazoa; Chordata; Actinopteri; Cypriniformes; Danionidae
Also listed under: 1 other name
Rfam family: tRNA
About the family: Transfer RNA (tRNA) molecules are approximately 80 nucleotides in length. Their secondary structure includes four short double-helical elements and three loops (D, anti-codon, and T loops). Further hydrogen bonds mediate the characteristic L-shaped molecular structure. tRNAs have two regions of fundamental functional importance: the anti-codon, which is responsible for specific mRNA codon recognition, and the 3' end, to which the tRNAs corresponding amino acid is attached (by aminoacyl-tRNA synthetases). tRNAs cope with the degeneracy of the genetic code in two manners: having more than one tRNA (with a specific anti-codon) for a particular amino acid; and 'wobble' base-pairing, i.e. permitting non-standard base-pairing at the 3rd anti-codon position.
Source: Rfam by way of RNAcentral